RNAcentral lists this non-coding RNA (29 nucleotides) under Mus musculus (house mouse). Lineage: Eukaryota; Metazoa; Chordata; Mammalia; Rodentia; Muridae. The record is from RNAcentral.
UGAUUGUAACCUGAAUGGUAGCUUCCUUC